AGGACGAACGCUGGCGGCGUGCUUCAUACAUGCAAGUCGAACGAGAAACUGACUUCGGUUAGUGGAAAGUGGCGGACGGGUGAGUAAUAUGUAGAGAAUCUGCCCUUGAGUGGGGGACAACAGAGGGAAACUUCUGCUAAUACCCCAUAUGAGCUUAGUUGAAAUACUAAUCUUGAAAACUCCGGUGCUCAAGGAUGAGUCUGCAUCUGAUUAGCUAGUUGGCGGUGUAAUGGACCACCAAGGCGACGAUCAGUAGCUGGUUUGAGAGGAUGAUCAGCCACAAUGGGACUGAGACACGGCCCAUACUCCUACGGGAGGCAGCAGUAGGGAAUUUUGCGCAAUGGGCGGAAGCCCUGACGCAGCAACGCCGCGUGAACGAUUAAGCCCUUCGGGGUGUAAAGUUCUGUCAGUAGGGACGAAACUUGACGGUACCUACAGAGGAAGCACCGGCUAACUCCGUGCCAGCCGCCGC
This 472-nucleotide ribosomal RNA is filed under the name uncultured bacterium. RNAcentral describes it as "bacterial SSU rRNA". It matches the Rfam family "Bacterial small subunit ribosomal RNA", at positions 26 to 518 of the family's 1533-position model. The record is from RNAcentral.